This 574-nucleotide small RNA is filed under the name Pan troglodytes (chimpanzee). Its description in RNAcentral is "processed transcript". The record is from RNAcentral. Lineage: Eukaryota; Metazoa; Chordata; Mammalia; Primates; Hominidae.
AUCAACAUGACUUUGAAGCUGGUUAGCAAAGCAGAAUGGUGGGAUUUGCCUCAGACCCACUGACACAGAAUCUCUGUGUGUGGAUCCUAGGAUGCUGUGGAGUAAGUAACAGGUUCUCCAGAUCAUUGAAACAACCACCAAAUGAAAAAUCAUCCGAUAUACCCACCUUAGGCCCAGAUUGCACAGUGCAGCUGUUGGUACUGACUACAUGAAAAGCUUCACUGUACAUUGGGCUGUCCAUCAGCAUCGUCAGGGCCGCUUGAAGAUGCCAUUGAAGAUGAGGAAGAAGAAUGUCCAUCAGAGGAAACAGACAUCAUCUCCAAAGGAGACUUUCCACUGGAGGAAAGCUUUUCCACAGAAUUUGGGCCUGAAAAUCUGAGCUGCGAAGAAGUGGAAUACUUUUGUAACAAAGGUGAUGAUGAAGGAAUCCAGGAGACAGCAGAAUCAGAUGGGGACACACAGUCAGAGAAACCGGGGCAACCUGGAGUUGAGACAGACGACUGGGAUGGACCAGGAGAGCUGGAGGUGUUUCAGAAAGAUGGGGAACGAAAAAUUCAGAGUCGACAGCAACUUC